This 407-nucleotide ribosomal RNA is filed under the name uncultured bacterium. RNAcentral's name for it is "partial 16S ribosomal RNA". It matches the Rfam family "Bacterial small subunit ribosomal RNA", at positions 30 to 526 of the family's 1533-position model. The record is from RNAcentral.
AUUGAACGCUGGCGGCAGGCCUAACACAUGCAAGUCGAGCGGAGCGGCGGACGGGUGAGUAAUGCCUAGGAAUCUGCCUGGUAGUGGGGGAUAACGUCCGGAAACGGGCGCUAAUACCGCAUACUAUCAGAUGAGCCUAGGUCGGAUUAGCUAGUUGGUGGGGUAAAGGCCUACCAAGGCGACGAUCCGUAACUGGUCUGAGAGGAUGAUCAGUCACACUGGAAGUGAGACACGGUCCAGACUCCGACGGGAUGCAGCAGUGUGGACGAUUGUACAAUGGUCGAAAGCCUGAUCCAGCCAUGCCGCGUGCGUGAAGAAGUACUGCGGAUUGUAAAGCACUUUCAGUUGCGACGCGUUACCAACAGAAUAAGCACCUGCUAACUUCGUGCCAGCAGCCGCUGUAAUUC